RNAcentral lists this long non-coding RNA (1068 nucleotides) under Salmo salar (Atlantic salmon). RNAcentral describes it as "lncRNA (ENSSSAG00000099275.1)". The record is from RNAcentral. Lineage: Eukaryota; Metazoa; Chordata; Actinopteri; Salmoniformes; Salmonidae.
GUCAGGAAUUGUGAAAAACUGGUGAAUGUAAACUUCCGACUUCAACUGUAUAACAACAUAUCAACUGUUACUGUCUCACCCCUAAACUAUGAGACUGCCUUUAACACUGGAUUUACGCUAUGUCAUACCAAUACUACUGUGUUACGUACAUGAUGACUGGUGCAGAGAGACAUGGUGCAGUAGGAUUUAAUGGAGCAACAACAUGGGAUUUCCCUUAAUAGAGAGAGCGCGAGAGAGAGAGAGAGAGGCAAAGGCAAAGAGAGAGAGAGGCAAAGGCAGAGAGAGAGAAAGAGAGGCAAAGGCAGAGAGAGAGAGAGGCAAAGGCAGAGAGAGAGAGAGGCAAAGAGAAAGAGGCAAAGGCAGAGAGAGAGAGAGGCAAAGGCAGAGAGAGAGAGAGAGGCAAAGGCAGAGAGAGAGAGAGAGAGAGAGAGAGAGAGAGGCAAAGGCAGAGAGAGAGAGAAAGGCAGAGAGAGAGAGAGAGAGAGAGAGAGAGAGAGCUGAUGAAAAUGUUCUUGAGAGCUGGAGAAGUAAUUGCUAAGCUAAGGUUAGUAAUUUUGCGGUAUUAAAUUACCUGUCAGUAUCUAAAUGAAGUAGUUCUUCAGCUCUGCCCAAACUCACAGCUCCCUCCCUCCAUCUGCUCCUCUACUGAGGCUCUCAAGGUGGUGUAGCGGUACCCGUGUAAGGCAGUAUUUCUCAAGAUGGUGUAGCGGUACCCGUGUAAGGCAGUAUUUCUCAAGGUGGUGUAGCGGUACCCGUGUAAGGCAGUAUUUCUCAAGGUGGUGUAGCGGUACCCGUGUAAGGCAGUAUUUCUCAAGGUGGUGUAGCGGUACCCGUGUAAGGCAGUAUUUCUCAAGGUGGUGUAGCGGUACCCGUGUAAGGCAGUAUUUCUCAAGGUGGUGUAGCGGUACCCGUGUAAGGCAGUAUUUCUUAAGGUGGUGUAGCGGUACCUGUGUAAGGCAGUAUUUCCCGAGUGGUGCAGCAGUCUAAGGCACUGCAUCUCAGUGCUUGAGGCGUCAUUACAGACACCCUGGUUUGAAUCCAGGCUGUAUCACAAUCGGCCGUGAUUGG